UUACAUGUCUAUACACAAAAGUGUAAACAUUCGUUUGGUAAAUGAGAUGAAUAAUUGGCAAAAAUAAGCGAGAAAUAACAUUUUUUACAGACUACUCAAAGCAAAUAAAAAUAGUGUCUUUCUCAACAGAGUAGCCAGCCUUCGCUAUGUACCUAGAAGCGAUUUAGAAAAAUAAGGAUGAAUUUUA
RNAcentral lists this small RNA (187 nucleotides) under Arabidopsis thaliana (thale cress). RNAcentral describes it as "ATSL287430". The record is from RNAcentral. Lineage: Eukaryota; Viridiplantae; Streptophyta; Magnoliopsida; Brassicales; Brassicaceae.